GACGGGAGGUGCAAGCGUUACUCGGAAUUACUGGGCGUAAAGCGUCCGCAGGUGUCCUGCCACGUCUGGGGUAAAAGCACGGAGCUCGACUCCGUGUCCGUCCUGGAAACGAGUAGGAUUGAGUCACUCAGAGGCAUCUGGAAUGUCGCGUGUAGGGGUAAAAUCCGUUGAUCCGCGAUGGAACGCCAAAAGCGAAAGCAGGAUGCUGGGGGUGCACUGACACUCAGGGACGAAAGCGUGGGGAGCAAACGGG
This 253-nucleotide unclassified non-coding RNA is filed under the name uncultured Candidatus Altimarinota bacterium. RNAcentral's name for it is "uncultured Candidatus Gracilibacteria bacterium contains 16S-23S intergenic spacer region". It matches the Rfam family "Bacterial small subunit ribosomal RNA", at positions 524 to 776 of the family's 1533-position model. Lineage: Bacteria; Candidatus Altimarinota. The record is from RNAcentral.